Molecule: unclassified non-coding RNA, 247 nt
Filed under: Hevea brasiliensis (rubber tree)
Lineage: Eukaryota; Viridiplantae; Streptophyta; Magnoliopsida; Malpighiales; Euphorbiaceae
Source: RNAcentral
CGAUCGAUUGAUCGUUGGCAAUGCCGACAAUGAGGCCCUUCUUGCCUUUCAGGGCGACCUUGCUAUCCGGGAAUACGGGAAUCAUGAAACCUUCUCCUGUCUGACACUGGACGAUGGUCUGUUCGCCAACAGCGACAAUGUGUGCUGCGCGAUCAUGAGUUCCUCGUCAGUCGGUAUGACGUAGACUGGAAUCCGGCUUUCAGAACCCGAUAUCAGACGCGCAUGGCGAGAAUUUUCCGCUGGAUCG